Molecule: transfer RNA, 92 nt
Filed under: uncultured Thermomicrobiales bacterium
Lineage: Bacteria; Pseudomonadati; Thermomicrobiota; Thermomicrobia; Thermomicrobiales
Description: tRNA-Ser-GCT
Rfam family: tRNA
About the family: Transfer RNA (tRNA) molecules are approximately 80 nucleotides in length.
Source: RNAcentral
GGGGAGGUGGCCGAGAGGCUGAAGGCGCUCGCCUGCUAAGUGAGUAACGGGGUUAAACCCGUUCGAGGGUUCGAAUCCCUCCCUCUCCGCCG